CGCCCCGGCAGGUGAGAGAGCCCCGACCCCUUGGACCCCGCCCGGCAGGUGAGAGAGCCCCGACCCCUUGGACCCAGCCCCGGCAGGUGAGAGAGCCCUCGGAGCCCCUUCGGAGCUCGGCCCGCCUCCACCGCCAGGUGAGAGACUCCCGUACCCAUCGGAUCCCGCCCGGUCCCCCGGCAGGUGUCUUGUCACAGUAUCGCGAGCGGGUUUCUAAUGCCAACCAGCGGCUUUGCUCGGUAUGUGCACACACACUGUGCAGGGACACGGACGCCACUCCCAGGACACCAUCCCAAGAAAACCCCAUCCCGAGAAACUGCUGUCCCGUGCAGUGCUGGAUGGCCUGAAGCCGUUUGCACACCCUGCACAGCACUUGCAGAGUUCGCACAGCCUUUGCACAGGGUUUGCACAGCCUGUACGCGGAGUUGGCGUGCCUUGCAUGGCAUUUGCACACGCAGCCCUUGUUCACACCUUGCACACACCAUCCCCUAGCAGUUAGUGACCCCCCAGCUGGGGCAGGAGGCAGAGGAAGGGCUGGCAGAGCAAGGCUUCAUUAGCUGUUAUUCUUCUGUCAGUCCCUUAUUCAAUCCAGCCUGAUGCUGUUCAGAUACUAAAGGUCAUUUUUAAAAACCAUCUGACAAGACCUCCCAGCCCUGAGGCCUCACUGCCCCCUGGCCAGGGUGCUGAGGCUCUACUCGGGAGCCCUCCCAGAACCAGAACAUGGCAGCAGGGCUCAGGGCAUCUCUUCCCAAAGACGGGAAGGCUGAAAAGCACUGUCCAGUCCUGUCCCCCUUCAUCCCACCUCAAAGAGCAGCCCCGGGCUCCAAACUGUGCUCCUGAUGCCCCCACUGCAGUGUACGGCAGCACUCCCUUUCCUGGUGCUGCCCAAGGAAAGGAUCAAAAGGGUCAGCAACAGGAUGGAAGGAUGACGGGGUGGAAAGGACUGUCAAAUGGGCAGAUGAGUCUAUCCCUAAACCUCUGGGCUUCUUGCAAUGGUUUCUGGAGCAUCCUGCCUGGAAUCGUUUCACACAGUCAGUUUUAUGAGAAAGUGAAAGGUACACAAAUGGUGAGUGUGGGUCUAGCCUCGGGCCCCCAAGUCUGUACAUCCUCCUGCAGACUGGGGUGCAAUGUACCUGCCACACAUGUGCCCCAAGCCCCAAGCUUCACCAAAUUCCCUGGGCUGGAACUGUCACUGCAUUUUUGAUGUGUAUCUUUCAAAAAUUAAAGUUAUAUUGAUACAACA
Molecule: long non-coding RNA, 1243 nt
Organism: Catharus ustulatus (Swainson's thrush)
Lineage: Eukaryota; Metazoa; Chordata; Aves; Passeriformes; Turdidae
Exons: 2
Source: RefSeq, a predicted model, not a curated record